UACGUAGGGGGCAAGCGUUGUCCGGAAUCAUUGGGCGUAAAGCGCGUGUAGGCGGCCAGAAAAGUCCGCUGUGAAAACUCGAGGCUCAACUUCGAGCUGUCGGUGGAAACUUUCUGGCUAGAGUCCGGAAGAGGAGAGUGGAAUUCCUGGUGUAGCGGUGAAAUGCGCAGAUAUCAGGAAGAACACCCGUGGCGAAGGCGGCUCUCUGGGACGGUACUGACGCUGAGACGCGAAAGCGUGGGGAGCGAACAGG
This 253-nucleotide ribosomal RNA is filed under the name uncultured bacterium. RNAcentral describes it as "partial 16S ribosomal RNA". It matches the Rfam family "Bacterial small subunit ribosomal RNA", at positions 524 to 776 of the family's 1533-position model. The record is from RNAcentral.